CCUUAUCAUCCCACCCCACCAAACCCACCUUCCCCGGUCAAACCCCACCCACCACCUUCUCUCUCUCGCCUACCUCCCACAACCACCGCGCCGCCUCUUAGUCCAGGGCGCCGCGCUCCCCUCUCCCCCACCUCACCCCACAACGCCGCCACUCCCCCAGCCAAGGCCACCCGCCACUCGGCCACGCGCCUCCCCUGACCGGCCUUCUUCCAGAGGCCCGACGACGGGUCGCCGCAACAAGCCCACCCACCACCUCCCUCUGUCGCCGGCCAGGGCGACCGCCGCCUACCCGCGCCACCCCGGCUCCAACUCCGCGCCAUCCACCUCCACAUCAAACGGCGGCGCGCCGCCCAGCCCCAACCGCGAGAUCCACGCGACGACGAUCGGUCCACCAUGGCGUCGAGCGCCUCCUUCCCUCGGCGUCGACUGGAUCCAUCCACCCCUACCGGAUCCGAGCCUUCUCACUGCCGGAUCCCCUUCCUCCUCUCUAACAUAAGAUGAAGGCGCGCGGGAUGGGCAGAGGGAGGAGGGAGUGUGCUCCCUCGGCCGUCCCACCGUCGAUUAGCCGGCCCACUGCUCAGGUUGUGCAGUUCGAGAGGAGUGAUCCUGCAGUGCGGGAGAUCAUGGGUGUGCAGUUUUUUUGCCUCAUAUUUUUGGUGUACAGAUGAAUGUGUGGUUGUAUGCGUUUUGACUGUGGGUGUGCAGUUCUUUUUUCUUCAAUUUUUUGCUUGAUUUGUGUAGGGCAGUUAGCUUGGGUGCCAGUUGCAUUCCGGAUUCUUUCUGUGUGUUCUUCAUCAAUUCGUGAAAGUGUAUGGCAACGACCACACCCCAGUUCAUGGUGGUGCUUGAGACCGGGACAGCCCCCUCGACGGCUGUUCAACUCUAUGCUCGGCAGCCUCGUGCAAGCACGACGAGGCAUCCCACCGGUGGCGUUGCCGUGCAAUUGAGGUAGUGCUCUUGCGCAACUCCCAGUCCACCUCGAUGUCGUCCACACUGCAGGGCAGAUCAGGCAAGAACAGGGGCAUCACCGGCUAAUCGGCCAUAGGCUCGCUCUCCACCUCUCUCGAGUGGCCAUCGUCGUGCAGCUCGGCUACAAGACGCAUGCAGUGAACAGCGCGAGGGAUAGCGGUGAGACUGUCAUAUGCUAGCGGUGCAGUGCGCCUCCACAAGCAGUUCUGUCGGUGUGUGUGCCCUUUUAAAACUGCAGUGCAGUUUAUUUUUUUAGAAUUGAUCCACAAAAUGCAGUUUUGGCGCAGCUAAGUUCUUUUCUUUUUUGCUACGGAAGUAAAGUUUUCUUGCGAACGCAGCUCAAUUGCUCGUUAGUGUGCCCCGACACUGCACUGUGAAUUUUCUGUUGCAAUUCACUCUGCAUAAUUUUUUUUGCUUCAGUCCAGUGGCGUGGCCCGUGUGCAAGGUGGUGUGGUUUGAUGUCAUGCAGGCUGCAAUUUUGUAUAUUUUUGAGUGGUGCGGUUUUGUAUCAGUGGAAGUGCAGCCCGUAGACCUUUAGCGACCUGAUUGUUUUUUUUCUUAAUUUUGCUUCGGUUUCACUUGUUCAUAAUAUAUUCAAACAUCAUGUAGUUCACUGUGAAAA
Aegilops tauschii subsp. strangulata is the source of this 1591-nucleotide long non-coding RNA. RefSeq lists it as uncharacterized. The record is from RefSeq and is a predicted model, not a curated record. NCBI's taxonomy places the organism in Eukaryota, Viridiplantae, Streptophyta, Magnoliopsida, Poales, Poaceae.